GAGUUUGAUCAUGGCUCAGAUUGAACGCUGGCGGCAUGCCUUACACAUGCAAGUCGAACGGCAGCAUGAUCUAGCUUGCUAGAUUGAUGGCGAGUGGCGAACGGGUGAGUAAUACAUCGGAACGUGCCCUGUAGUGGGGGAUAACUAGUCGAAAGAUUAGCUAAUGCCGCAUACGACCUGAGGGUGAAAGUGGGGGACCGCAAGGCCUCAUGCUAUAGGAGCGGCCGAUGUCUGAUUAGCUAGUUGGUGGGGUAAAGGCCCACCAAGGCGACGAUCAGUAGCUGGUCUGAGAGGACGAUCAGCCACACUGGGACUGAGACACGGCCCAGACUCCUACGGGAGGCAGCAGUGGGGAAUUUUGGACAAUGGGCGAAAGCCUGAUCCAGCAAUGCCGCGUGUGUGAAG
RNAcentral lists this ribosomal RNA (405 nucleotides) under uncultured microorganism. Its description in RNAcentral is "bacterial SSU rRNA". It matches the Rfam family "Bacterial small subunit ribosomal RNA", at positions 9 to 410 of the family's 1533-position model. The record is from RNAcentral.